GAUGAACGCUCGCUACAGGCUUAACACAUGCAAGUCGAGGGGCAGCAUGGUCUUAGCUUGCUAAGGCCGAUGGCGACCGGCGCACGGGUGAGUAACACGUAUCCAACCUGCCGUCUACUCUUGGACAGCCUUCUGAAAGGAAGAUUAAUACAAGAUGGCAUCAUGAGUCCGCAUGUUCACAUGAUUAAAGGUAUUCCGGUAGACGAUGGGGAUGCGUUCCAUUAGAUAGUAGGCGGGGUAACGGCCCACCUAGUCUUCGAUGGAUAGGGGUUCUGAGAGGAAGGUCCCCCACAUUGGAACUGAGACACGGUCCAAACUCCUACGGGAGGCAGCAGUGAGGAAUAUUGGUCAAUGGGCGCAGGCCUGAACCAGCCAAGUAGCGUGAAGGAUGACUGCCCUAUGGGUUGUAAACUUCUUUUAUAAAGGAAUAAAGUCGGGUAUGUAUACCCGUUUGCAUGUACUUUAUGAAUAAGGAUCGGCUAACUCCGUG
RNAcentral lists this ribosomal RNA (490 nucleotides) under uncultured bacterium. RNAcentral's name for it is "partial 16S ribosomal RNA". It matches the Rfam family "Bacterial small subunit ribosomal RNA", at positions 28 to 507 of the family's 1533-position model. The record is from RNAcentral.